This 1383-nucleotide non-coding RNA is filed under the name Pan troglodytes (chimpanzee). Lineage: Eukaryota; Metazoa; Chordata; Mammalia; Primates; Hominidae. The record is from RNAcentral.
GGAUAAUGCAAGUGUUUAACAGAUGCUUCACUAUUAAAAUAUUUCCCCCCCAAGUCUCAAAUAUUGAAGAAUCUCUAACCAGGCUCGAAACGCCGGUCUCAGUGGCUAUUGAGUUACCCACCAAGUUACCCCGGUUAGAGCUGUUUGGGGUGGCUCACGUUAUUGCGGCAAACUUUGGAGAUGACGGCUGAGUCCUCCGGGCGAACAUGUCAAGCCGAUUGUAAAUGCUGUUAUUUCCACAUCCUUCAGGGACACCAGUCCCUACGAAGACCUUGGGCGAUUUUGAAGUGCGGGCACCUCGAUUCCCCGAAUCUGUAGUGUGGCUGGUAUCGGUGUUCCCCUGGUUUAACUAGCCUGUUUGAAGGCACAGAUCAUUCAUGGGGAAGUAUAACCGAAACCAGUCCUCUCCACCCCCUGGGGAUCUUCACUUUCCCAGUCUACAACUGCCUGUGACUCCAGAAAGACAAACUGCAGAUUGGCCAAGCUGCCUGAAGACCCAGCCCGACAGCGAUGCCUGUCAGCCCGCGUCGCCCACCAGGGCAGCUGCUCUCCCGACUCGCAUGGGGGGCACCACCCCGCCUCGGUGCCCUAGAGCUGAGCGCAGCCGCGGCUCCACGGGGAUCGCCAGGGCCUCAGCCCUCGCGGCCGGCGGCGCGGGAGUGUUGCGGGGCAGGGACCAGAGCGCGAUCAGAGCGGCCAACCCCCGAUUUAGGUCGCCAGCUUUCCAGUCACUGCGAUGGCCACUGGGGCGCCCCUUCCAUCCUGGUUAAAUUCUCAUUGUGAUCCCCAGCCCUCUUCUCGGUUCCCCACACCCAGGAGGCCGGUUCUCCGCCGCUCAGGCUGGGAGAGGUCACCGCUCCGGGCAGGGUGGACCCCCAGCUCCGUCUCGGAGGACCUUUCGCCGGAGGCGAGCAGGAAGGGGUUAACCAUGAGCCUCCCACCCUCACCUCCCAGACCCUGGUGCCGGGCGAAGGCCUCCGCUUCCCUCCUGAGGUCUCAUUAGGAAACCCUCACCGCUAUUUUCAACAUUUCCUCAAUCAAGUGUCUUUAAAUAGAGCUGCACAAACAGAUUGGCGGCAAAAGCGUAGAUCUUGUCACGAUUGAGACCAAUCCAGUAUUUCAGCCUUGUUUGCUUUGCAAUUACGGGUUGGCUUGUGGCUACGGUGCCACCGGGGCAAAUCUGCAGCCGCUCGCUUUCUCCUCUGCACUCCGGGCGGGUGGAGGAAGCGACCCGCGGAGUCACUGCAGGGAGGAGAAGGGGACGCGCGCGGGGGGAGGCGGCGGAGGGCGGAGGAGCCUCGCUUGCACCCCAGGGCCGCGGGCACGCAGAGCUGUGUUGAAGGACAUACUUUUCAGGUUCCUGACAGUCACUGAGCUAUACGC